CCACCUCCUUCCAAAACUGCCUUUUCUGCUGGGAAGGAAUGGAAAUGUCCCUGUGAAGCUGGCGGUGCUGUUUGUGUGUGAGAUGCUGCUGCUGUGGGCACAGAGCCUGCAGCCAGCAGAGCAGGAGCAGAUUCGCAUCCCAGGGCCUGUGACAGCGCUGUUGCAUGGGACAUUACUGUAGAUGCUUGUGGUCCCUCGAGGACAACAGUGCCUUCUGCUUUGUAUCCUGGAGCAGGACUUCCCAACAUAUAUCCAUCUCAGGAUAACAAGUUAACAGGAAACGGGUUUUGGCCACCGCACCGCUCCCGCACCCUGCCGCCGGCAGCCGCUGAUUGGUCAGUUGCGUCCGUGCCGAGCUCUCUCCGAGGCUACAACUGGUCCCGGGGUGCGGUACCGCUCGCAGCCGCCAGGCGGCGAUAGCAAGCA
Molecule: long non-coding RNA, 426 nt
Organism: Neopsephotus bourkii (Bourke's parrot)
Lineage: Eukaryota; Metazoa; Chordata; Aves; Psittaciformes; Psittacidae
Exons: 3
Source: RefSeq, a predicted model, not a curated record